This is a long non-coding RNA of Acipenser ruthenus (sterlet), 941 nucleotides long. RefSeq lists it as uncharacterized. The transcript is spliced from 3 exons. The record is from RefSeq and is a predicted model, not a curated record. NCBI's taxonomy places the organism in Eukaryota, Metazoa, Chordata, Actinopteri, Acipenseriformes, Acipenseridae.
UGAAAAUAUCAUGGCAUCUGACUAUCUGACGUAUCUUUAACAAGAGAACACUGUCUGCAAGAAUGUGUCUCUGGAUAUGAAGCCUUAACGAUUGACUUCAAGAAACUACUGUAUAUGAUUUUGGAACUAAUGACUGUUUGGAAUCUCAAGACAGCAAACAGUAAUUAUGGAAUCUGCAGCGAUGUCUCCUCCCCAGAGCAGAAUGUAGAGUCAUCAUUUAUGCAGUUUUGGACACUGAAGCACCUGCAAACCAGUCACCUGCUAUCAGACCUUUAACAACAACUGUGCAACAGGGAGAUGAAGCUUUUACAUAUAACAGAAUACACACAAGGGGUACCAUUUGCAUAACAAAAGAGCUAAUUGUGAGAAACAGCCCAAUGGGGAAGCCUCCACAUGCAUGUCUCAUCAGUGCUCUUAGUCCUAUUCCAAUAUGAGUGUUACAGUCAAAGAUGUUUUAAAAGCAGAAACAUGUAGGCCUCUCUUUGUUUUAUUGAUAGUUUAUUAACAAAUCUAUAUUAAGCAUCUGUUUACUGGUGAUUUACUUUGAUUUCCCUAUUUUAUUAGCUUUAGCUCAACAUGCUUUUUGAUGCAGAUGUGACAUGUGGUCUUGCCAUUGUAAAGCGACCUGAUGCUGCUUAUGGGGAUACCCCUAAUAAUAAACAAAGGCUGAGAUUCCAUUUGUUUUACAUCACGGUUUUGCUAUUGUAAGGGUUUUUCGAAUUAUCCAACAUUGCGCGGAGGCCCUGCGUACCCACACCUAGCUGACCACUGGCGCAUGGAUCCCAAUGUGAAUCUAUUGGCAGGGAAAUCAGUAUACCACACACACGUCAAGUUUACAAGACUUUAUUUAGCACACAAAACAAUAUCCAAUAUCAUGAACACCCAUAACCAAUAUACCAUUCCCCGGGCUGAACAGCACCCCCCACAUUGCAAUUCACACA